Molecule: small RNA, 917 nt
Filed under: uncultured fungus
Lineage: Eukaryota; Fungi
Description: eukaryotic LSU rRNA
Rfam family: Eukaryotic large subunit ribosomal RNA (bases 495-917)
Source: RNAcentral
UCCGUAGGUGAACCUGCGGAGGGAUCAUUACAGAGUUGCAAAACUCCCAACCAUUGUGAACGUUACCUGUACCGUUGCUUCGGCGGGCGGCUCCCUCGGGGGCCGCAACCCUUACGGGUGCCCGCCGGAGGACAUCAACUCUUUGUUUUUUAGGCCUCUCUGAGUAAUCAUACAAAUAAGUUAAAACUUUCAACAACGGAUCUCUUGGUUCUGGCAUCGAUGAAGAACGCAGCGAAAUGCGAUAAGUAAUGUGAAUUGCAGAAUUCAGUGAAUCAUCGAAUCUUUGAACGCACAUUGCGCCCGCUAGUAUUCUGGCGGGCAUGCCUGUUCGAGCGUCAUUUCAACCAUCAAGCCCCAGGCUUGCGUUGGGUCCCUGCGGCUGUCCGCAGGCCCUGAAAUACAGUGGCGGGCUCGCUAGUCACUCCGAGCGCAGUAAUACAUCUCGCUCAGGGCGUGCGGCGGGUGCCGGCCGUGAAACAACCCCUUCUAAAGUUUGACCUCGGAUCAGGUAGGAAUACCCGCUGAACUUAAGCAUAUCAAUAAGCGGAGGAAAAGAAACCAACAGGGAUUGCCCUAGUAACGGCGAGUGAAGCGGCAACAGCUCAAAUUCGAAAUCUGGCUUCGGCCCGAGUUGUAAUUUGUAGAGGAAGCUUUUGGUGAGGCACUUUCUGAGUCCCCUGGAACGGGGCGCCAUAGAGGGUGAGAGCCCCGUAUAGUUAGACGCCGAUCCUCUGUAAAGCUCCUUCGACGAGUCGAGUAGUUUGGGAAUGCUGCUCAAAAUGGGAGGUAAAUUUCUUCUAAAGCUAAAUAUUGGCCAGAGACCGAUAGCGCACAAGUAGAGUGAUCGAAAGAUGAAAAGCACUUUGAAAAGAGGGUUAAACAGCACGUGAAAUUGUUGAAAGGGAAACGCUUGAAGU